GAUGAACGCUGGCGGCGUGCCUAAUACAUGCCAGUCGAGCGAACGGACGAGAAGCUUGCUUCUCUGAUGUUAGCGGCGGACGGGUGAGUAACACGUGGAUAACCUACCUAUAAGACUGGGAUAACUUCGGGAAACCGGAGCUAAUACCGGAUGAUUUUUUGAACCGCAUGGUUCAAAAGUGAAAGACGGUCUUGCUGUCACUUAUAGAUGGAUCCGCGCUGCAUUAGCUAGUUGGUAAGGUAACGGCUUACCAAGGCAACGAUGCAUAGCCGACCUGAGAGGGUGAUCGGCCACACUGGAACUGAGACACGGUCCAGACUCCUACGGGAGGCAGCAGUAGGGAAUCUUCCGCAAUGGGCGAAAGCCUGACGGAGCAACGCCGCGUGAGUGAUGAAGGUCUUCGGAUCGUAAAACUCUGUUAUUAGGGAAGAACAUAUGUGUAAGUAACUGUGCACAUCUUGACGGUACCUAAUCAGAAAGCCACGGCUAACUACGUG
Molecule: ribosomal RNA, 497 nt
Filed under: uncultured bacterium
Lineage: Bacteria
Description: partial 16S ribosomal RNA
Rfam family: Bacterial small subunit ribosomal RNA
Source: RNAcentral